AUCCNGCCNUGCCGCGUGCAGGAAGACUGCCCUAUGGGUUGUAAACUGCUUUUAUACAGGAAGAAACACUCUCACGUGUGAGAGCUUGACGGUACUGUAAGAAUAAGGAUCGGCUAACUCCGUGCCAGCAGCCGCGGUAAUACGGAGGAUCCAAGCGUUAUCCGGAAUCAUUGGGUUUAAAGGGUCCGUAGGUGGAUAAUUAAGUCAGAGGUGAAAUCCUGCAGCUCAACUGUAGAAUUGCCUUUGAUACUGGUUGUCUUGAGUUAUUAUGAAGUAGUUAGAAUAUGUAGUGUAGCGGUGAAAUGCAUAGAUAUUACAUAGAAUACCAAUUGCGAAGGCAGAUUACUAAUAAUAUACUGACACUGAUGGACGAAAGCGUGGGGAGCGAACAGGAUUAGAUACCCUGGGUAG
Molecule: ribosomal RNA, 411 nt
Filed under: Formosa sp. Asnod6C8-C9
Lineage: Bacteria; Pseudomonadati; Bacteroidota; Flavobacteriia; Flavobacteriales; Flavobacteriaceae
Description: bacterial SSU rRNA
Rfam family: Bacterial small subunit ribosomal RNA
Source: RNAcentral